CUCAGAAUGUGUUGAUAAUCCUUUGUACUACAGCUUUUCUGAAAGAUAAAACUUUAGCCAUUGAGAACUACAAGAGUUUUGCUACGUUUCUCAAGAACAUUGAUGCCCUGAAUUUAGCAGGCGCUAUCGACAGAUCAGUUGGAAAAUAUUGUGAUGGGCUACUUUCUGCUCACACCACGGAGUGACUUGACACAAUGCUGGCCAAACAAGACGUAUCUACAAACAAAAUUGUGUUAAAUGGUUCCAAUCUGCCAUGAAGCGUUCAUCCAUAUAUACAGAUCGAUCCACUGUCUUCGAUACCGUGAAUCCUCCUCUCCACCCUCUCAGGGCUGGGCAUCUCAGGUUCUGCACACUUUUGGAUUGCAUCUUACCUGGCAGGUCGCUACUACCAGAUGGCGUGGAGAGGAUCUGCACCAGGAUCUGCAUGCUCUCACUACUGGUUUUCCCCAGUGCUCAGUUCUAGAUCCUAUUUUCUCUUUACACCAAGUCACUCAACUCUGCCAUAUCGUCACAUGGUAUCUCCUAUCACCAGCUAGUUCCGACCCCCACUCCACAUCAGCCCACAUUAUUGCACAUGC
Molecule: long non-coding RNA, 578 nt
Organism: Oncorhynchus tshawytscha (Chinook salmon)
Lineage: Eukaryota; Metazoa; Chordata; Actinopteri; Salmoniformes; Salmonidae
Source: Ensembl